Oncorhynchus tshawytscha (Chinook salmon) is the source of this 1479-nucleotide long non-coding RNA. The record is from Ensembl. Lineage: Eukaryota; Metazoa; Chordata; Actinopteri; Salmoniformes; Salmonidae.
UAGUGCACUAGGGGCCUGGUAGAAAGUAGUGCACUAGGGGCCUGGUUAAAGUAGUGCACUAGGGGCCUGGUAGAAAGUAGUGCACUAGGGGCCUGGUUAAAGUAGUGCACUAGGGGCCUGGUAGAAAGUAGUGCACUAGGGUCCUGGUUAAAGUAGUGCACUAGGGGCCUGGUAGAAAGUAGUGCACUAGGGGCCUGGUUAAAGUAGUGCACUAGGGGCCUGGUAGAAAUAGUGCACUAGGGGCCUGGUUAAAGUAGUGCACUAGGGGCCUGGUAGAAAGUAGUGCACUAGGGUCCUGGUUAAAGUAGUGCACUAGGGGCCUGGUAGAAAGUAGUGCACUAGGGUCCUGGUUAAAGUAGUGCACUAGGGGCCUGGUAGAAAUUAGUGCACUAGGGUCCUGGUAGAAAGUAGUGCACUAGGGUCCUGGUAGAAAGUAGUGCACUAGGGUCCUGGUAGAAAGUAGUGCACUAGGGUCCUGGUAGAAAGUAGUGCACUAGGGUCCUGGUAGAAAGUAGUGCACUAGGGGCCUGGUAGAAAGUAGUGCACGAUUAACGGAAUAUGGUGCCAUUUGUGACUCAUGCUACAUGUGCCGAUGUCUCUUUAGAUAAAUAUCUUAUAUUUUUACAACAUGUCCUUUGUUGUCCAAUGGGACGAUGAUGAACUAGUUCUGCAUGUUACCACAUGUCCAUUAUUAUCCAAUGGAACGAUGAUGAACUAGUUCUGCAUGUUACCACAUGUCCAUUAUUAUCCAAUGGAACGAUGAUGAACUAGUUCUGCAUGUUACCACAUGUCCAUUAUUAUCCAAUGGAACGAUGAUGAACUAGUUCUGCAUGUUACCACAUGUCCAUUAUUAUCCAAUGGGACGAUGAUGAACUAGUUCUGCAUGUUACCACAUGUCCAUUAUUAUCCAAUGGAACGAUGAUGAACUAGUUCUGCAUGUUACCACAUGUCCAUUAUUAUCCAAUGGGACGAUGAUGAUCUGGUUCUGCAUGUUUCCAAACAGGGAAAGAGAAACUGUAGAUAACUGCCAUGAUUAAAACAGUCAUGAGAUGUUCAGGGGUUAUUUCAGGUCAGACUCACUAGAUGGUGACUAUAGUAGCUGCUGUUAUUUGUCCUGUUUCACACUUGUCCAGGUGUUUCACACAUAUCCCAACACCCACAGAGAGCUGGGGUCUUUAGACAGGGUCAGACAUUAUCAACACCCACAGAGAGCUGGGGUCUUUAGACAGGGUCAGACCAGACAUUAUCCACACCCACAGAGAGCUGGGGUCUUUAGACAGGGUCAGACAUUAUCAACACCCACAGAGAGCUGGGGUCUUUAGACAGGGUCAGACAUUAUCAACACCCACAGAGAGCUGGGGCUUUAGACAGGGUCAGACAUUAUCAACACCCACAGAGAGCUGGGGUCUUUAGACAGGGUCAGACAUUAUCAACACCCACAGAGAGCUGGGGUCUUUAGACAGGGUCAGACAUUAUCAA